Molecule: ribosomal RNA, 501 nt
Filed under: uncultured bacterium
Lineage: Bacteria
Description: partial 16S ribosomal RNA
Rfam family: Bacterial small subunit ribosomal RNA
Source: RNAcentral
AUUGAACGCUGGCGGCAGGCUUAACACAUGCAAGUCGAGCGGGGGAAGGUAGCUUGCUACCGGACCUAGCGGCGGACGGGUGAGUAAUGCUUAGGAAUCUGCCUAUUAGUGGGGGACAACAUCUCGAAAGGGAUGCUAAUACCGCAUACGUCCUACGGGAGAAAGCAGGGGAUCUUCGGACCUUGCGCUAAUAGAUGAGCCUAAGUCGGAUUAGCUAGUUGGUGGGGUAAAGGCCUACCAAGGCGACGAUCUGUAGCGGGUCUGAGAGGAUGAUCCGCCACACUGGGACUGAGACACGGCCCAGACUCCUACGGGAGGCAGCAGAGGGGAAUAUUGGACAAUGGGGGGAACCCUGAUCUAGCCAUGCCGCGUGUGUGAAGAAGGCCUUAUGGUUGUAAAGCACUUUAAGCGAGGAGGAGGCUACUCUAGUUUAUACCUAGGGAUAGUGGACGUUACUCGCAGAAUAAGCACCGGCUAACUCUGUGCCAGCCGCCGCGGUAA